This 274-nucleotide ribosomal RNA is filed under the name uncultured bacterium. Its description in RNAcentral is "partial 16S ribosomal RNA". It matches the Rfam family "Bacterial small subunit ribosomal RNA", at positions 523 to 796 of the family's 1533-position model. The record is from RNAcentral.
AUACGAAGGGGGCUAGCGUUGUUCGGAAUUACUGGGCGUAAAGCGCACGUAGGCGGAUAUUUAAGUCAGGGGUGAAAUCCCAGAGCUCAACUCUGGAACUGCCUUUGAUACUGGGUAUCUUGAGUAUGGAAGAGGUAAGUGGAAUUCCGAGUGUAGAGGUGAAAUUCGUAGAUAUUCGGAGGAACACCAGUGGCGAAGGCGGCUUACUGGUCCAUUACUGACGCUGAGGUGCGAAAGCGUGGGGAGCAAACAGGAUUAGAAACCCCGGUAGUCC